RNAcentral lists this ribosomal RNA (466 nucleotides) under uncultured bacterium. RNAcentral describes it as "partial 16S ribosomal RNA". It matches the Rfam family "Bacterial small subunit ribosomal RNA", at positions 28 to 507 of the family's 1533-position model. The record is from RNAcentral.
GAUGAACGCUGGCGGCGUGCUUAACACAUGCAAGUCGAACGGAAAGGCCACAGCUUGCUGUGGUACUCGAGUGGCGAACGGGUGAGUAACACGUGGGUGAUCUGCCCUGUACUUCGGGAUAAGCUUGGGAAACUGGGUCUAAUACCGGAUAGGAAUCACAUGUGGGUGUGUGGUUGGAAAGCUUUUGCGGUAUGGGAUGAGCUCGCGGCCUAUCAGCUUGUUGGUGGGGUAAUGGCCUACCAAGGCGUCGACGGGUAGCCGGCCUGAGAGGGUGUACGGCCACAUUGGGACUGAGAUACGGCCGAGACUCCUACGGGAGGCAGCAGUGGGGAAUAUUGCACAAUGGGCGCAAGCCUGAUGCAGCGACGCCGCGUGGGGGAUGACGGCCUUCGGGUUGUAAACUCCUUUCGUCAGGGACGAAGCGAAAGUGACGGUACCUGGAUAAGAAGCACCGGCUAACUACGUG